RNAcentral lists this ribosomal RNA (253 nucleotides) under uncultured bacterium. RNAcentral describes it as "partial 16S ribosomal RNA". It matches the Rfam family "Bacterial small subunit ribosomal RNA", at positions 524 to 776 of the family's 1533-position model. The record is from RNAcentral.
GACGUAGGCUGCAAGCGUUAUCCGGAAUUAUUGGGCGUAAAGAGUUCGUAGGUGGUUUGUUAAGUUGGAUGUCAAAUCUUUGAGCCUAACUCAAAGCAGGUGUCCAAAACUGGCAGACUUGAGACAGGUAGAGGUAAGUGGAAUUCUGCAUGUAGGGGUAAUAUCCGUAGAUAUGCAGAGGAACGCCAAAAACGAAGGUAGCUUACUGGACCUGUUCUGACACUCAAGAACGAAAGCGUGGGGAGCAAACGGG